AACGAACGCUGGCGGCGUGCCUAACACAUGCAAGUCGAACGAGAAAGGGGCUUCGGCUCCGAGUAAAGUGGCGCACGGGUGAGUAACACGUGGGUAACCUGCCUCUAAGAUUGGGAUAACUCGUCGAAAGAUGAGCUAAUACCGAAUAAGACCACAGUUCCCGCGGGAACAGGGUUCGAAGGUAGCCUCUGCUUGCAAGCUAUCACUUAGAGAUGGGCCUGCGCACCAUUAGCUAGUUGGUAGGGUAACGGCCUACCAAGGCAAAGAUGGUUAGCUGGUCUGAGAGGAUGAUCAGCCACAAUGGAACUGAGACACGGUCCAGACUCCUACGGGAGGCAGAAGUGGGGAAUAUUGCGCAAUGGGCGAAAGCUUGACGCAGCAACGCAGCGUGAGUGAUGAAGGCCUUCGGGUCGUAAAGCUCUGUCGGGAGGAACGAAUGCUCCUGAGGUUAACAGCCUCGGGAGGUGACGGUACCUUCAAAGGAAGCACCGGCUAACUCUGUG
Molecule: ribosomal RNA, 503 nt
Filed under: uncultured bacterium
Lineage: Bacteria
Description: partial 16S ribosomal RNA
Rfam family: Bacterial small subunit ribosomal RNA
Source: RNAcentral